This 849-nucleotide long non-coding RNA is filed under the name Homo sapiens (human). Its description in RNAcentral is "HSALNT0272692". The record is from RNAcentral. Lineage: Eukaryota; Metazoa; Chordata; Mammalia; Primates; Hominidae.
CGCGGCCUCGGAGGCGCGCGCUCCCGGGCCGCCCAGGAGGUGGACCGGCGCUCGCCUCUCUUCGAUGCUUUUGUUCUGCAAGCGCUGUGACUGUGCUCAUCGCAUAAACAAUUGCAACUGCCCUGACGACACUGGACCCUCUCCCAGGAUCCCCAACGUCUUCUCAAACCGAAAAUGAAGAAUCUUGUGAGGGAGAAGGAGGAGGGUAGGUAGGAGGAGGCAUUUACAAAAUGCUACCUGUUGAGGUGCCCGCAUUUGAUGGAAACUUCACCCCGAUCAUGCAACAUCAGAGCUGAAAGGAAGGAUUUGGUCCUAACAAAGUUCCUUUCAUUGUUUAUUCCUGAGUAAACAAGUAUGACAUCGACCCAUAGCAAUGCUUUGAGAUUGGGAGUGGGGGGUGGGGGAACAACAGCUGUCAUCAAUCCAGUGUCUGGGGGUCUCGCUGACCCAUCUGAAGAGGGACGCAGAGAAAUGCCUGCUUUCAAUACAUCUAAUUUUAAAUACGCUACUAUAUUCAUCCACCUACCUGUUACAAGUCACCAGCCUCAGUUAUUAUGACGGAACAUACUGCGUUUUCUGUUGUUCUGUCUCAUUGUUCCCGUUUACCAAUAUUAAAGAUACAGCUUAAAAUGUUUUUCUUGCUGUGCUGAAGGGACUUCUUUGCUCCCACCGGCCUUGACUAUUUCAGUAACGUUCAUUCAAUCCUUUUAAUGUCUCUAAUUCAGUAAUCAAAUCUUAACAGGACAGUUGCAUGGGAGGGGAAUGGUAACUAGCGUGGUGCCAGCAGAAUAGAUGUCCAGCAACUGUCUAAAGAAUGAGGAAUAUGGAGCUCACUUUGGGGUAAAAACC